RNAcentral lists this ribosomal RNA (292 nucleotides) under uncultured eukaryote. Its description in RNAcentral is "partial 18S ribosomal RNA". It matches the Rfam family "Eukaryotic small subunit ribosomal RNA", at positions 6 to 299 of the family's 1831-position model. The record is from RNAcentral.
GGUUGAUCCUGCCAGUAGUCAUAUGCUUGUCUCAAAGAUUAAUCCAUGCAUGUCUAAGUAUAAACACUUUAUACUGUGAAACUGCGAAUGGCUCAUUAAAUCAGUUAUAGUUUAUUUGAUGGUACACUACUACAUGGAUAACUGUGGUAAUUCUAGAGCUAAUACAUGCAUUAAAGCCCCAACUUUCGCGGAAGGGGUGUAUUUAUUAGAUACAAAGCCAGUACGGGUAACCGUCUCGGUGAAUCAUGAUAACUGCUCGAAUCUCAUGGCCUUGCGCCGGAGAUGCUUCAUU